RNAcentral lists this ribosomal RNA (506 nucleotides) under uncultured bacterium. RNAcentral describes it as "partial 16S ribosomal RNA". It matches the Rfam family "Bacterial small subunit ribosomal RNA", at positions 29 to 523 of the family's 1533-position model. The record is from RNAcentral.
AGUGAACGCUGGCGGUAGGCCUAACACAUGCAAGUCGAACGGCAGCACAGGAGAGCUUGCUCUCUGGGUGGCGAGUGGCGGACGGGUGAGGAAUACAUCGGAAUCUACUCUGUCGUGGGGGAUAACGUAGGGAAACUUACGCUAAUACCGCAUACGACCUACGGGUGAAAGCAGGGGAACUUCGGUCCUUGCGCGAUUGAAUGAGCCGAUGUCGGAUUAGCUAGUUGGCGGGGUAAAGGCCCACCAAGGCGACGAUCCGUAGCUGGUCUGAGAGGAUGAUCAGCCACACUGGAACUGAGACACGGUCCAGACUCCUACGGGAGGCAGCAGUGGGGAAUAUUGGACAAUGGGCGCAAGCCUGAUCCAGCCAUACCGCGUGGGUGAAGAAGGCCUUCGGGUUGUAAAGCCCUUUUGUUGGGAAAGAAAUCCAGCUGGCUAAUACCCGGUUGGGAUGACGGUACCCAAAGAAUAAGCACCGGCUAACUUCGUGCCAGCCGCCGCGGUAA